RNAcentral lists this ribosomal RNA (253 nucleotides) under uncultured bacterium. RNAcentral describes it as "partial 16S ribosomal RNA". It matches the Rfam family "Bacterial small subunit ribosomal RNA", at positions 524 to 776 of the family's 1533-position model. The record is from RNAcentral.
UACAGAGGGUGCGAGCGUUACUCGGAAUUACUGGGCGUAAAGCGUGCGUAGGCGGUUAUUUAAGUCGGGUGUGAAAGCCCCGGGCUCAACCUGGGAAUUGCAUUCGAGACUGAAUAGCUAGGGUACGGUAGAGGGAAGUGGAAUUUCCGGUGUAGCGGUGAAAUGCGUAGAUAUCGGAAGGAACAUCAGUGGCGAAAGCGACUUCCUGGACCAGUACCGACGUUCAGGCACGAAAGCGUGGGGAGCAAACAGG